UUUAACUUUAACUUUGUUUAACUUUUUAACAUCUAAUAUUUGUUGUCUUAUUUCUCUUUUCAGAGUUUAGCUCCAACCCCAAUUAAGCAGACCUGAGCAGCUGAUCAAGGAUCACCAGAAACUUUGCAGAACGUUGGUCCUCCAUGCCCAGGACUGGACACCAGUGUUAUGCUGG
This 175-nucleotide long non-coding RNA is filed under the name Sinocyclocheilus anshuiensis. Its description in RNAcentral is "lncRNA (ENSSANG00000007019.1)". Lineage: Eukaryota; Metazoa; Chordata; Actinopteri; Cypriniformes; Cyprinidae. The record is from RNAcentral.